GAUGAACGCUGGCGGCGUGCCUAAUACAUGCAAGUCGAGCGAACAGACGAGGAGCUUGCUCCUCUGACGUUAGCGGCGGACGGGUGAGUAACACGUGGAUAACCUACCUAUAAGACUGGGAUAACUUCGGGAAACCGGAGCUAAUACCGGAUAAUAUAUUGAACCGCAUGGUUCAAUAGUGAAAGACGGUUUUGCUGUCACUUAUAGAUGGAUCCGCGCCGCAUUAGCUAGUUGGUAAGGUAACGGCUUACCAAGGCAACGUUGCGUAGCCGACCUGAGAGGGGGAUCGGCCAAACUGGAACGGGAAAACGGUCCAGACUCCUACGGAAGGAAGCAGAAGGGAAUCUUGGGAAAUGGGCGAAAGCCUAACGGAGCAACGCGGCGGGGGGGAUGAAGGUCUUCGGAUGUAAAAACUCGGUGAUUAGGGAGGAAGAGAGGGGGAAGGGACAGUGCACGUCUUGACGGUACCUAAUCAGAAAGCCACGGCUAACUACGUG
This 497-nucleotide ribosomal RNA is filed under the name uncultured bacterium. RNAcentral's name for it is "partial 16S ribosomal RNA". It matches the Rfam family "Bacterial small subunit ribosomal RNA", at positions 28 to 507 of the family's 1533-position model. The record is from RNAcentral.